This is a long non-coding RNA of Drosophila nasuta, 464 nucleotides long. RefSeq lists it as uncharacterized. NCBI's taxonomy places the organism in Eukaryota, Metazoa, Arthropoda, Insecta, Diptera, Drosophilidae. The record is from RefSeq and is a predicted model, not a curated record. The transcript has 2 exons.
GUGCAUAGCAGUUGCAUUCAUCUCUGCUUGCUUGUUGGAGAAAAUAUUCGCCUGGGCGCUGGUUGUGGUGGAACUGCCAAAUCCUUGGGUAUGUCCGUGUUGUACCGACAAACUGUGCCCGUUGCUGUCGAAAUUACGGUUUGACGGGUCCUCCAUUGGUCAUUGCGAAAACUCCAGCCUUGGCAUUCAUCUGCUCAUCACCUUUUAUCACGCCGCAUUUGGCGAAUGCAGCUCCUGUCUUCGGGUCGGCACUUGAAUGACAGUCCAUUGUAAUUGGUUGUGGAUGCUGUUGAUGCUGAAACACCGAUUACUGAUAGUAUUCUGAGUGUCGCUAGUUCUCCGAUCCGCUUUUUAUAUCCCGGCAGCUGCAUCACCGCAAACUCGGUACAUUCCCGCCUAUAGUUUGCAUUGAGUAAUGGGUACAUCACACGCUUGACACUCAUUUAGAUUAAUAAAAUACAUAA